This 533-nucleotide ribosomal RNA is filed under the name uncultured bacterium. Its description in RNAcentral is "bacterial SSU rRNA". It matches the Rfam family "Bacterial small subunit ribosomal RNA", at positions 777 to 1310 of the family's 1533-position model. The record is from RNAcentral.
AAUAGAUACCCUGGUAGUCCACGCUGUAAACGUUGGGCGCUAGGUGUGGGGGCCUCUCCGGUUCCCUGUGCCGCAGCUAACGCAUUAAGCGCCCCGCCUGGGGAGUACGGCCGCAAGGCUAAAACUCAAAGGAAUUGACGGGGGGCCCGCACAAGCGGCGGAGCAUGCGGAUUAAUUCGAUGCAACGCGAAGAACCUUACCUGGGUUUGACAUGGCCGCAAAACUGUCAGAGAUGGCAGGUCCUUCGGGGCGGUCGACAGGUGGUGCAUGGCUGUCGUCAGCUCGUGUCGUGAGAUGUUGGGUUAAGUCCCGCAACGAGCGCAACCCUCGUUCGAUGUUGCCAGCGCGUUAUGGCGGGGACUCAUCGAAGACUGCCGGGGUCAACUCGGAGGAAGGUGGGGAUGACGUCAAGUCAUCAUGCCCCUUAUGUCCAGGGCUUCACGCAUGCUACAAUGGCCGGUACAAUGGGCUGCGAUACCGUGAGGUGGAGCGAAUCCCGAAAAGCCGGUCUCAGUUCGGAUCGGGGUCUGACG